RNAcentral lists this ribosomal RNA (501 nucleotides) under uncultured bacterium. RNAcentral describes it as "partial 16S ribosomal RNA". It matches the Rfam family "Bacterial small subunit ribosomal RNA", at positions 30 to 523 of the family's 1533-position model. The record is from RNAcentral.
AUUGAACGCUGGCGGCAGGCUUAACACAUGCAAGUCGAGCGGGGAAAGGUAGCUUGCUACCGGACCUAGCGGCGGACGGGUGAGUAAUGCUUAGGAAUCUGCCUAUUAGUGGGGGACAACAUCUCGAAAGGGAUGCUAAUACCGCAUACGUCCUACGGGAGAAAGCAGGGGAUCUUCGGACCUUGCGCUAAUAGAUGAGCCUAAGUCGGAUUAGCUAGUUGGUGGGGUAAAGGCCUACCAAGGCGACGAUCUGUAGCGGGUCUGAGAGGAUGAGCCGCCACACUGGGACUGAGACACGGCCCAGACUCCUACGGGAGGCAGCAGUGGGGAAUAUUGGACAAUGGGGGGAACCCUGAUCCAGCCAUGCCGCGUGUGUGAAGAAGGCCUUAUGGUUGUAAAGCACUUUAAGCGAGGAGGAGGCUACUUUAGUUAAUACCUAGAGAUAGUGGACGUUACUCGCAGAAUAAGCACCGGCUAACUCUGUGCCAGCCGCCGCGGUAA